GGGCGUCUCUUUCUCAUUGCGAGUGGAGGCGCACCCAGAGCGUACACGCUGAUACCCGAAAGAUGGUGAACUAUGCCCGGCCAGGACGAAGCCAGGGGAAACCCUGGUGGAGGUCCGCAGCGAUUCUGACGUGCAAAUCGAUCGUCGGAGCUGGGUAUAGGGGCGAAAGACCAAUCGAACCAUCUAGUAGCUGGUUCCCUCCGAAGUUUCCCUCAGGAUAGCUUGCGCUCACGUGAACGAGUCUCAUCCGGUAGAGCGAAUGAUUAGAGGCCUUGGGGUCGAAACGACCUCAACCUAUUCUCAAACUCCAAAUAGAUGAGAACUCCGGCUUUCUUGAACUUUGUUUUUGAAGCCGGGGGCUCGGAUCAGAGUGCCAAGUGGGCCAAUUUU
This 390-nucleotide ribosomal RNA is filed under the name Phylus coryloides. RNAcentral's name for it is "eukaryotic LSU rRNA". It matches the Rfam family "Eukaryotic large subunit ribosomal RNA", at positions 763 to 1138 of the family's 3401-position model. Lineage: Eukaryota; Metazoa; Arthropoda; Insecta; Hemiptera; Miridae. The record is from RNAcentral. RNAcentral also lists the same sequence under 1 other name.